GCAAUAAUAGCUUAAAUUAAAGUUUUGGUCUUGUAAGCCAAAGAUGAAAAAAUUCUUAUUGCU
RNAcentral lists this transfer RNA (63 nucleotides) under Bithynia leachii. RNAcentral's name for it is "tRNA-Thr". It matches the Rfam family "tRNA". From Rfam's summary of the family: Transfer RNA (tRNA) molecules are approximately 80 nucleotides in length. Their secondary structure includes four short double-helical elements and three loops (D, anti-codon, and T loops). Further hydrogen bonds mediate the characteristic L-shaped molecular structure. tRNAs have two regions of fundamental functional importance: the anti-codon, which is responsible for specific mRNA codon recognition, and the 3' end, to which the tRNAs corresponding amino acid is attached (by aminoacyl-tRNA synthetases). tRNAs cope with the degeneracy of the genetic code in two manners: having more than one tRNA (with a specific anti-codon) for a particular amino acid; and 'wobble' base-pairing, i.e. permitting non-standard base-pairing at the 3rd anti-codon position. The record is from RNAcentral. Lineage: Eukaryota; Metazoa; Mollusca; Gastropoda; Littorinimorpha; Bithyniidae.